CACAUGUGCAUACAAUGUGGGGCGGAUGGUGCUGCGAUAAAGUCGCGGGCUUCGCUGUCAUGUCCCCCCCCCUCCCCCCUCCUCCUUUCGUUGCUCUUCCCCACGGGCAAAGCGAUGCCCGGGGACUCGCCAAGAGCUCUGCAUCCACCGGCGCCCUCUACAGCCUCUGGUCAAGCGUCGCGGUUGCCCUGUGUAGCCUUCUGCUGCUUUGUGUGGUAGGCAUGUGUGUAAGGCGUUGCUGCCGUCGUGGGCGUCGCAAAGGGCGCGCGUUGACGACGACGACGGCAACGCUGCAGCGAUGGAAGCGCUUUCCUCGAGUAGAACUCUGGCGCCGUCCCACCAAAAAGAAGGAAAUGGAGACAAGCACGCCUCCAAAUCGGUUGCAGGUAACGCAGCUACCUCUCCCCCUAGCUUCACAGCGGGGGGGGAUGUUCACCUGCAUGGAUGGCGUCGCAGCAAAGCAGUGCUCUACAGCGUCCUCUCCAUCUGUCUGGGAUCACUGUAAAAGCCGUGUGACCGACGUGACUCAUGAGUGCGCCCCGCUUCUCAACGGGAGGCGCACGUAUGGUACAGCCACAAGAUCUUGAAAUGCCGAUAGUCAUCGAGGCUAGCCUGCCGCGCCGCCACCCUCGAUGCGCUACAAGUCCUUUGAGUCCGAAAAAGGGACGGCAGAUGGACUGGAGGAGUAACACGCUGCUAUUGCAGACGACACGAGUCAUUGGGGGGGGGGGUCAGCGCUAUCCCACCUCCGAGUUCUGUCAGCAACACCUCGCUCUCCCUUUCGUUCUCCCCUCAAACGAGCACCUCGUCAG
Molecule: unclassified non-coding RNA, 812 nt
Filed under: Leishmania donovani
Lineage: Eukaryota; Euglenozoa; Kinetoplastea; Trypanosomatida; Trypanosomatidae
Description: gene:unknown
Source: RNAcentral